Molecule: long non-coding RNA, 2199 nt
Organism: Mus caroli (Ryukyu mouse)
Lineage: Eukaryota; Metazoa; Chordata; Mammalia; Rodentia; Muridae
Source: RefSeq, a predicted model, not a curated record
CUCCAACCCCACAGGAACUGGGCAUGAUGGUCCGUGCCUGCCAUCCCAGCACUCUGGAGGCAGAAGGAGGACUAGAAGCUCAAGGAUUCUUCUAGAAAGAAGAAUUGCACCUCAAAUUGAUAUUUUUAGUUAUAACAAGAUAUCCAGGAUAGGUGGACACAAAGGAGUCAGAAAGUGAGGCGAUCCGGUGAGCAUACUCAGUGGCAAAGAGAAGAGCCAAGUUGGCAGGCUGACCUCGAAAGACAAUGGACUUAGGAAGGAUGCUGGGAUCAAAGGCAUGCCUGGUUCUUUCUGAGAUGCAGAAAUCCCUGCCUGCUGUUGGACAAAGCCAUUUCUCGGGAACCACGAGGCCUGAGCACACGAGGGACUGAGUCCAGCACGGCUGUUUCUGAAAGUCAUGAGCACGUUCCCAGAAGCCUGAACUUGGCUUCAAGUCUACCCCUCAGGAAGGCUGUCUCUUACAGGAUGCUGUCUACUGGGAGGCUUCUAAUUAAACCACUUUGGAUGUCAUCCAAGGAAUGCCUGCCUCAACCAGCACUUGGCACUGUCAUGCUAUCUUGUGGAGUCCGCUGGGGCCUGAAAACUUUAUUCUUCCACUGAAUCACUGCUAUGUUGAAGGCCCAGGUAAACUGUUGCCUGAAGUCUACUUCCUGAGUAUUUCUUGGAGUCACAGAUAAGAAACCCAGCCACUAACCAGAUCCCCUGAGUAUCCCCCCGAGGCUGUUCCAGUGACCUGGCAUCUGUGGUGCGAAGGCAAGAUGACCAAUAAAUAAAUGUCACAAACCAAAGGAAGAGGGUUCCCAGACCACACAAGGGCCACAGCACCCUAAAAUAUGACUCACAGUUAAGACAGCAUCUCGCAAACUUGACUACGCAGGAGGCUGAGAUGGUUCACUGAAAUCAGUGCCCAGACACACUUCUCCUGAAGGUACCUGGCCAUGUGUCUCAGGAGCUCCAGCCUCCUCUCAGCCCUCUCCCACCCAGCUGCAGCUCGCCUGAGAAAAGCUUUUCUGGCAUCUCUGUCCUUGACUUUUUCCAGCGCGUUUGUUCCUGUCUUCACUGGCUGGCUCCAACUAUGCUCUGGAGAGGCCAGACCCUCAGAGACACCAGGACUGAGGGAAGCUGUCUCUUUACUCCAGAAGAAUGAUUUUGCGUGCUUGCAAAGGCUAGAAGACUCUGUGCUGCUUCUCUGUGGAGAGGACAUGUGGUCCUGAGAAAAUGUCCCCAGGUUAGAUGAUUUCCAUAAUUAUGCUUCCCAAACCCUUCCCAGCACAUUCAGCUGACAGCUCUUUCGGCCCUGCCAAAUGUACUUGCUCUGAUCCCCGCUCUUACAGCCCUCAACCCCCUCCCCGCUUUUACAAACACAUACAAACACUCAUGCUCACACUUCACAAUAAGCAAAUGGUUAAAAAAAAAAACCCAACUCCCUCUUUCUUUUUCAUGAAGCAGAUGGUAGGUCUCAGGAACUUGGUGGAAAUUAGGCUUUCUGAUUUUCUAAUAAAUUUUAGCAUCUCGCACAAGGAGCACGAGCUCCUUUUCAUUCUGAUGUUAAGUACCAUAUGGCCCAUCAUCCAAGGAACGUGGCAGCUUCAUACCCAGAGUAAUGUGGAAGGGAGGAGCGUCCCUAUGAGGCCAGGGUGUGUAAACCAAUCGGAUUCCAGGGUGAAUGCCUUUUGAUAAUAAUAUUGUAUAUGGCAGAGGACUAAUUAUCCCUCUUUUAUGGUAUGUGUUAAUUUUCUCUGCCAGUUUCCCUAAUUACAACUGCCACCCAAAGGACUACUCUUUGUAAAUACUCUGUAAACAUUUGAAAAGACACAGACAGCGUGUGCAUGAGGAAGGCUGUCCCUGGCUUUCGAAGCUGUCUGCAAGAUUAGCUGGCAUCUCGUAGGUUUUUCAGAUGCAUUAGCAGCUGGGGAGGACUUGUUACUGUAUGGGAAGACACCCCUCCGUUCCCAUGACAUCAUGGGCUUCCCUGUAUAUUCUGGGAUCAUUGUUUUGAGAGACCAGUUUUUUGGCUUUUUUGGGGGGGGUUGAGGGGGUUUUAUUAUUUUGUUUUGUUGUUUUAUUGUUUUGUUUGUUUGUUUGUGGCUGCCUUUGUUGCUCUGAAGUGAACAGUCUCACAAAUUACGGCAAACACGGGGCCCAGCAAACACAGGAGUGGAUGUUCACAGUCAGCUAUUGGAUGUAUCACAGGGCUCC